Molecule: ribosomal RNA, 548 nt
Filed under: Fusarium solani
Lineage: Eukaryota; Fungi; Ascomycota; Sordariomycetes; Hypocreales; Nectriaceae
Description: eukaryotic LSU rRNA
Rfam family: Eukaryotic large subunit ribosomal RNA
Source: RNAcentral
UGACCUCGAAUCAGGUAGGAAUACCCGCUGAACUUAAGCAUAUCAAUAAGCGGAGGAAAAGAAACCAACAGGGAUUGCCCCAGUAACGGCGAGUGAAGCGGCAACAGCUCAAAUUUGAAAUCUGGCUCUCGGGCCCGAGUUGUAAUUUGUAGAGGAUGCUUUUGGUGAGGUGCCUUCCGAGUUCCCUGGAACGGGACGCCAUAGAGGGUGAGAGCCCCGUCUGGUUGGACGCCGAACCUCUGUAAAGCUCCUUCGACGAGUCGAGUAGUUUGGGAAUGCUGCUCUAAAUGGGAGGUAUAUGUCUUCUAAAGCUAAAUACCGGCCAGRGACCGAUAGCGCACAAGUAGAGUGAUCGAAAGAUGAAAAGAACUUUGAAAAGAGAGUUAAACAGUACGUGAAAUUGUUGAAAGGGAAGCGCUUGUGACCAGACUUGGGCUUGGUUGAUCAUCCGGGGUUCUCCCCGGUGCACUCUUCCGGCCCAGGCCAGCAUCAGUUCGCCCUGGGGGACAAAGGCUUCGGGAACGUGGCUCUCUCCGGGGAGUGUUAUA